ACGAACGCUGGCGGCAGGCCUAACACAUGCAAGUCGAACGCCGUUAGCAAUACGGAGUGGCAGACGGGUGCGUAACACGUGGGAACAUACCCUUUGGUUCGGAAUAACUCAGGGAAACUUGAGCUAAUACCGGAUAAGCCCUUACGGGGAAAGAUUUAUCGCCAAAGGAUUGGCCCGUGUCUGAUUAGCUAGUUGGUGAGGUAACGGCUCACCAAGGCGACGAUCAGUAGCUGGUCUGAGAGGAUGAUCAGCCACACUGGGACUGAGACACGGCCCAGACUCCUACGGGAGGCAGCAGUGGGGAAUAUUGGACAAUGGGCGCAAGCCUGAUCCAGCCAUGCCGCGUGAGUGAUGAAGGCCUUAGGGUUGUUAAAGCUCUUUUACCCGGGAAGAAUAAUGACGGUACCGGGAGAAUAAGCCCCGGCUAAC
Molecule: ribosomal RNA, 429 nt
Filed under: uncultured bacterium
Lineage: Bacteria
Description: bacterial SSU rRNA
Rfam family: Bacterial small subunit ribosomal RNA
Source: RNAcentral